UACGGAGGAUGCAAGCGUUAUCCGGAAUGAUUGGGCGUAAAGCGUCCGCAGGUGGCUAUGUAAGUCUGCUGUUAAAGAGUGAGGCUCAACCUCAUAAGAGCAGUGGAAACUACAUAGCUAGAGUGCGUUCGGGGCAGAGGGAAUUCCUGGUGUAGCGGUGAAAUGCGUAGAUAUCAGGAAGAACACCGGUGGCGAAGGCGGCAUCCUGGACCGGUAUUGACGCUGAGGCGCGAAAGCUAGGGGAGCAAACGGG
RNAcentral lists this ribosomal RNA (253 nucleotides) under uncultured bacterium. RNAcentral describes it as "partial 16S ribosomal RNA". It matches the Rfam family "Bacterial small subunit ribosomal RNA", at positions 524 to 776 of the family's 1533-position model. The record is from RNAcentral.